CUGCCUACUUCGCGGCUAGACCUGCGAUCUAGCAGGCUGCCUGGCAAAUUACUUUGCCACAGCAUACCACCGGCAGCUCCGCGGGAAGCUGCACGGUGGCUCAUACAUCACCGCCAUUGCACGCUCGCUAGGGAUCAUGCCCGAGAGUAAUUCGGAGCUGUCCGCGCCGAUCCCGUCGACUACGUUGGGCCGCGCGUUAGUAUCUAGCACGCAGAUCACCCGUACCUUUGAUGUUGGUCUGAGGUUUAAGGGCCGUGACGGGCUGAUUUGGCAUCCGGAGGUGUUGCCGGAGGUCAUCCCAGUUGUUAUUGAGGUGAGGCCUGGAGUGUUAGCCCCUCCUAAUGUUCAGGAGGUCGCUCGGCAGGCUCAGCUACAGGCUCUGGGCCUCGAUCAGCCUCAGGGCGAGCCUCAGGCUCAGGCUCAGCCUGUAUUCGAGGAUCCGGCUCAGGAGGAGCAUGUCGAGGAGAUCCCGGUACCACCAGUUCAGCCAGCUCCUGAGCCGCCACAGUACCCGCAACACGUUUACGCUGACCUGCCUCCGGUAGCGCGUGAGGUGGCUCGGGACUUCGACCGGCGCCUCAGACGCCAGGGCGCACUCAUUGACUGGAUGGUCGAGACGCUCGUUGCUCUACGAGAGCUCGCUGGGUUGCCUCCACUUCCCCUCCCACCGUCCCCACCGCACGAGGAUUAGUACC
Molecule: long non-coding RNA, 695 nt
Filed under: Helianthus annuus (common sunflower)
Lineage: Eukaryota; Viridiplantae; Streptophyta; Magnoliopsida; Asterales; Asteraceae
Description: hypothetical non coding rna
Source: RNAcentral